RNAcentral lists this ribosomal RNA (172 nucleotides) under Inocybe sp. RNAcentral's name for it is "partial large subunit ribosomal RNA". It matches the Rfam family "Eukaryotic large subunit ribosomal RNA", at positions 99 to 261 of the family's 3401-position model. The record is from RNAcentral. Lineage: Eukaryota; Fungi; Basidiomycota; Agaricomycetes; Agaricales; Inocybaceae.
UGGGAAAAGCUCAAAUUUAAAAUCUGGCAGCUUUUUUAGACUGUCCGAGUUGUAAUCUAGAGAAGUAUUACCUUUGUUAGACCAUGUAAAAGUCUUCUGGAAUGGAGUAUCAUAGAGGGUGAGAAUCCCGUCUUUGACAUGGAUUACUAGCAUAUUAAGGUGCACUCUCAAA